GCCUAACACAUGCAAGUCGAGCGGAAACGACACUAACAAUCCUUCGGGUGCGUUAAUGGGCGUCGAGCGGCGGACGGGUGAGUAAUGCCUAGGAAAUUGCCUUGAUGUGGGGGAUAACCAUUGGAAACGAUGGCUAAUACCGCAUAAUGCCUACGGGCCAAAGAGGGGGACCUUCGGGCCUCUCGCGUCAAGAUAUGCCUAGGUGGGAUUAGCUAGUUGGUGAGGUAAUGGCUCACCAAGGCGACGAUCCCUAGCUGGUCUGAGAGGAUGAUCAGCCACACUGGAACUGAGACACGGUCCAGACUCCUACGGGAGGCAGCAGUGGGGAAUAUUGCACAAUGGGCGAAAGCCUGAUGCAGCCAUGCCGCGUGUAUGAAGAAGGCCUUCGGGUUGUAAAGUACUUUCAGUUGUGAGGAAGGGGGUAGCGUUAAUAGCGCUAUACUCUGACGUUAGCAACAGAAGAAGCACC
RNAcentral lists this ribosomal RNA (469 nucleotides) under uncultured Pseudomonadota bacterium. Its description in RNAcentral is "bacterial SSU rRNA". It matches the Rfam family "Bacterial small subunit ribosomal RNA", at positions 46 to 494 of the family's 1533-position model. The record is from RNAcentral. Lineage: Bacteria; Pseudomonadati; Pseudomonadota.